Molecule: long non-coding RNA, 3660 nt
Organism: Athalia rosae (coleseed sawfly)
Lineage: Eukaryota; Metazoa; Arthropoda; Insecta; Hymenoptera; Athaliidae
Exons: 3
Source: RefSeq, a predicted model, not a curated record
CGUAUUACACGUGUGCUGCGGCAAAUAUAUCUCGCGGUAAGAAAACUGCGAUAGAAACAGUCUGCGGCUGCAGGUAAAACCAUUUUAUACACCGUCGUCGUAUGUGUACAUCGAGAGUACCUCGAUUUCCUCCCGUUGGACCGACGCAAAAAACCUGCGGGUAAAAAUUAGUCUUUUGUAAAAAAUCCAUUUUUCGGAUCGAUCGAGAACGCUUUACAUUCGAUUAUAGUCAGUCCCACAAUCUACCCUCGGAGUCGCUCGUGGAAGGACCCGUCCGAGAGCUUUUUUUCAACCCCUGAAAAAAUUAAUCCUCCGAAAAAUUGUGAAUAAAAUUUCACUUUCUCGCAUACCAAGGAGGACGUGAGAAGCUUUACCGCAAACUACUAAUUCAACCUCCCGUAGAUUCGAGAUCUCGAGUCGCCUCGCGUACUUUUAAACGAACGGAAAAAACGCAACGAGCGGGUUAUACGUAUCGAGUUCAGGGGCACGGUUUGUCGCGACGACUAACCACAGCAGCAAUCGUACCUACGGGCUAUACCUGUAGGUAGGUAUGCUUCGAAAAACCGCUCUUAUCCCGAGCUGUUUUCCUGGUAGAUGAACCAGUAGGACGUAUGCGCGAAUCUCGCGUCGUUAAACGUCGCGUCGACGGUACAUCCGACGUUCUUCCAAUUUCUAACUUCGUAUAUACCUAUACGGUGACGCGACCGCGCACCCUGGACAAACGCGAGGUGAGGUGCGCGUCCUCCGGCUAGGGGUGGCUGCUCGAUUCAGAGGUUAGAGAACGGCGAUGCGGAGGGUAGCUUCGUUAUCUAUUUCCCAUUUUUUCUUCCGAUCGGUUAAAUCGGAGUCCGUGGAAACGAUGAGAUAAAAUGACGUCGAGUUCUCGGACCUCGAGGAAAUUUCGAUACCAAUCGCUACUGUGUCAUUCCCGCGAAAUCAUUCGAGGAGGGUAACAAAGGAGAUCAAGCACGGAGUUAAAAACCGUAAGCAAAGGAUGAUGACUCGAUCGACAAAGGCAACGAUUCCGUUGCGUUUCCAGUCGUCAAACUGUAACAACGAUACAAAAAUGAUCGAAUCACGAAGAAGUGGAACAUGGCCGUCAACCGAGUUUCGAAAAUAGGAAGAACGAGGUGUGUCGGGUAGGAGUCUCGGAGAGCGUCGAUCGGCGUAGAUGAAUUAUUAGCGCUGACGUAAUAUUUCCUUAUCAUUUGAUACCCGCGUCUGUGACGAAACUCUGUAUAUUAAACCGAAGGAAAGGAGAAGGGGGAAGAGGCUUACGACGGCAAGACGUCGAUUUGGAUUAUUAUCACGCCAGUUGGAUGAUUGCGGGUUUUAGUGGAGAUCCAAGGGUGGAAAAGAUGCAGAAGAAAUAUACCGCGCGCGGUACAACAUCGUGGUCUGAGGUAGCGAAACUUCUACCUCGCGCCGCGCGCCGUCAGAACCAGAUAUUGCUCGGCAAAAACUACGGCUUUCAGUAAAAUACGCGACUGAGACUACAAUUACGGCGGGAUGGGAAUAACUUCCAUGUUCCUCGUAGUUUGAGCUGGUGAUGACAAGCAUCUUAUUCCGUUUGAGUUUCAACUGACAACGAGUUUGACAGUCGUUGCAUCUCCGGUUCGGUACAAGCCAUUGUUCGAAAGCAAGGAAUAGGAAGAGACUACACACUGAAUCAUCGCUGCAACAGGCGUUGUCCUGCACAAUUAUAUUACACUCGCAACAGAGUCCUAUGUAUUCUCCCUCGGAAGCUACCUACCUCCGCACGCUCCACGCUAUUUUAUAUAAAUCGCACGAACCCUGCAGCAAGGCACGUGAUCUGGUAACAAAUUAUCGACGACGCUCAAUCGAAAUACACUCCACUCCACUUUACAUCUUGCACCUAAUCCGGAAUCGCUUAAUGGUCGCAUCGACUUUGCUACCGACACUUUUCAUACGUAAUACCCUCCAGCUGUGACGGGGAGCAACGUAAUUGACGUGAAAAUUAGACGCGUUAAUUUCAAAUUCAUCCCGCGUUAUAUCGAGUCGCUGCAAGUGCUGAGUUAAGCUAUACCCGCAUGCUCGCACGCUUAAUGCUCCGUUGUGGAAAACGCUUCGAGACGGUAGAAAUUCAAAUAGAAAAUUGUCGUGACUUCGCUGAAAUUAACGUGUACGCUGCAAAGAAGCUGAGAGCUGUUUAAAGUUGGUUAACGCCCGAAUAUAGCUAAUGCACUUGGAUAAUUAGAAUAUACCGCGUGGCCUGUAGAAAAAAAAAAAAAAGAGAAAAAAAAAACCUCAACAAGGGAAACAAAGGGUUAAUUACUGCUCAACGCUUGGCGAGAUCCUGCGGCUAAUUUUUGUUGUUCGUGUCACAUGAGAAUUAAAAGAACGGAGAAUUUUUUAAAUUUUCAUUUCGAAAAAUCGGGAGGCAUGAAAUAGUCUCGGCGGUGCAGGCUUUUUGGAAUCAUUUUUCAGUUCUAUGCAGUUCAGAAGCCUUUUCGAUCUUUAGAAAUCAAUUAAAAUCGCAAUAGCUUCGAUGUCACUCUGAAUUUCUUGACACGAGGAAGAAGUUUGCCAGGAUUUGUUGGCUGCGCCGAACUUUUAUUUGAUUAUUUAAAUUGGACCAUUUGUUUUUUUUUUUUUUACGUCACUCUGUGCAUAGUCCAUAGAACCUUUCCGUUAUAGAAGUCGAAGGCUACGUUGGUUACAAUGAUAUUCAAAUUCAAUUGGGAAACGAGUGUACUUACAAUUAGUAUUGUGGAAAUACCUUUCGAAAUGUACUUACUGCUGAUGUUCUAACGGUAAAUUAUUCUUGAAAGUUCCAAGGCCAUCGCUAUCGUUAUUGUUAUACCUAAACUUCUCUUCAGUUUUACUUAAUCGUGCACUCCAAAGUCGAGGAAGUGCUGCGGUACGUACGCAAAGGUGUACCGUGUACGGCGGUUGUAUUUCGUAACGCGAAAUGUCAACGACAUGUUUGCUGACCCGAAUAAAUUCGAGAUCUCGAUCGUUGUUAAACCCGCUCAGAGGAAAAGUGCCCCCAGACCAUCUCAAGUUUCAUUGAACAUAAGAUUCUAAUCUUUUGUAGGAUCGACGAUGCUCAUUGAGGCUUUCAGGAUUCAGAAUUUCCGUAAAUCGUUGGAAAAAGGCCAUUGAACUCUGCAAGCGGCAAUUGGCUAGCCGUUUAUAACACGCAUCCAAUCUCUGAGUCGCACAUCAUUCGUUUCGUUAUCACAACGGACGGACGCGAACGAAAACAAUUAAAAUAGAAUCGACAACGAUACGAAACGCUGUUUCGCAGAUGCGACGAGCUGGAUUCGAGAACCAGAUCGCAGCUGCAAGUAACCGAAUAUGAAUUUUUCAAGGCCAUAGAUAUCCAUGGAAUUGUCAUGUCAGGUGUCGUUACCGUGCGGUAUAAAUUAUACAUUGAAUAAAAAAAAGAUGACCUACCACGUUGUUGGAGAUGCUGAGCGAUUCGUAGUCCGAAUCGACGUAGAAGAUGGAAUUUUGUUCCUGACGAAACCACAUCUUGAGGACCGGAUUAACCACCAUUUAGCACGAAGUGAUGGCAACAAAAAAAACGACGAAACUAUAGAACCAGGAACUUUUAACUCCAGCAAUACCUCGGAUGACACUUGAAAAAUUUUCUUUCACCAUGCAAGCAUUUUUAAAUAUAGAAUAUUCCUCAGA